Molecule: ribosomal RNA, 672 nt
Filed under: uncultured Acidimicrobiales bacterium
Lineage: Bacteria; Bacillati; Actinomycetota; Acidimicrobiia; Acidimicrobiales
Description: bacterial SSU rRNA
Rfam family: Bacterial small subunit ribosomal RNA
Source: RNAcentral
CCUGCCCCGAAGACUGGAAUAACCCGAGGAAACUCGGGCUAAUACCGGAUAUCCCCACCAGGUCGCAUGGCCAGGUGAGGAAAUGCUCCGGCGCUUCGGGAGGGUCUCGCGACCUAUCAGCUAGUUGGUGAGGUAACGGCUCACCAAGGCAUCGACGGGUAGCUGGUCUGAGAGGACGAUCAGCCACACUGGGACUGAGACACGGCCCAGACUCCUACGGGAGGCAGCAGUGGGGAAUCUUGCGCAAUGGGCGAAAGCCUGACGCAGCCACGCCGCGUGAGGGAUGAAGGCUUUCGGGUUGUAAACCUCUUUCAGCAGGGACGAAAAUGACGGUACCUGCAGAAGAAGCUCCGGCCAACUACGUGCCAGCAGCCGCGGUAACACGUAGGGAGCAAGCGUUGUCCGGAUUUAUUGGGCGUAAAGAGCUCGUAGGCGGUUUAGUAAGUCGGGUGUGAAAACUUGAGGCUCAACCUCAAGAGGCCACUCGAUACUGCUGUGACUGGAGUCCGGUAGAGGAGUGUGGAAUUCCUGGUGUAGCGGUGAAAUGCGCAGAUAUCAGGAGGAACACCGACAGCGAAGGCAGCACUCUGGGCCGGUACUGACGCUGAGGAGCGAAAGCAUGGGGGAGCGAACAGGAUUAGAUACCCUGGUAGUCCAUGCCGUAAACGUUGG